Molecule: ribosomal RNA, 213 nt
Filed under: Escherichia coli
Lineage: Bacteria; Pseudomonadati; Pseudomonadota; Gammaproteobacteria; Enterobacterales; Enterobacteriaceae
Description: partial 16S ribosomal RNA
Rfam family: Bacterial small subunit ribosomal RNA
Source: RNAcentral
GGAAGGUGGGGAUGACGUCAAAUCAUCAUGCCCCUUAUGACCUGGGCUACACACGUGCUACAAUGGUUGGUACAACGAGUCGCAAGCCGGUGACGGCAAGCUAAUCUCUUAAAGCCAAUCUCAGUUCGGAUUGUAGGCUGCAACUCGCCUACAUGAAGUCGGAAUCGCUAGUAAUCGCGGAUCAGCACGCCGCGGUGAAUACGUUCCCGGGCC